ACUUAUUCUGAAAGCACAAUUGGAAAGAUUGAUUUGCUUUAUAGACUGCUGCAUAUAAAGCAAUUGUUUUCAGCAGCGGAUGAAUGACAACCAAAAAGAUGGAAGUGAUCUGCGAGACAAGCAAAAAGAUGAAGUGGUCUGCCAGUGACAUGGUCUGCUCAUUAUUUUCUUUCUGUAGCUCGGGCGGUGUGUUAUACGCGGUCGGCUGUAACGCAUGGGGUUUAGCUUAACAUACCCAGGGGAAACGAGUGUAGAACAAUAUAUUUUUGACUAGCUAUGUCAACAACAUUUAUAUUAAUGGUAAUGUUAAUUCCAAACAUAA
Rosa rugosa (rugosa rose) is the source of this 322-nucleotide long non-coding RNA. RefSeq lists it as uncharacterized. The transcript is spliced from 2 exons. Lineage: Eukaryota; Viridiplantae; Streptophyta; Magnoliopsida; Rosales; Rosaceae. The record is from RefSeq and is a predicted model, not a curated record.